This 247-nucleotide ribosomal RNA is filed under the name uncultured Acetivibrio sp. RNAcentral describes it as "partial 16S ribosomal RNA". It matches the Rfam family "Bacterial small subunit ribosomal RNA", at positions 796 to 1041 of the family's 1533-position model. Lineage: Bacteria; Bacillati; Bacillota; Clostridia; Acetivibrionales; Acetivibrionaceae. The record is from RNAcentral.
CACGCCGUAAACGAUGGAUACUAGGUGUAGGAGGUAUCGACCCCUUCUGUGCCGGAGUUAACACAAUAAGUAUCCCACCUGGGGAGUACGGCCGCAAGGCUGAAACUCAAAGGAAUUGACGGGGGCCCGCACAAGCAGUGGAGUAUGUGGUUUAAUUCGAAGCAACGCGAAGAACCUUACCAGGGCUUGACAUCUACAGAAUCCUAUAGAGAUAUGGGAGUGCCUUCGGGAACUGUAAGACAGGUGG